UAUGGCCAUAUCAUACUGAAAUGCCGGUUCCUGCAUGAUCACCAAAGUUAAGCAAUGUUGAGCCUGUUCAGUAUCUAGAUGGAUGACCACUUGGGAAUACCAGGUGUUGUAAG
Acanthosepion pharaonis is the source of this 113-nucleotide non-coding RNA. The record is from the annotation of a GenBank genome assembly. NCBI's taxonomy places the organism in Eukaryota, Metazoa, Mollusca, Cephalopoda, Sepiida, Sepiidae.